GAUGAACGCUGGCGGCGUGCUUAACACAUGCAAGUCGAACGAAGCACUUUACUACGAUUUCUUCGGAAUGACGGUUUUGUGACUGAGUGGCGGACGGGUGAGUAACGCGUGGAUAACCUGCCUCAUACAGGGGGAUAACAGCCGGAAACGGCUGCUAAUACCGCAUAAGCGCACGGUACCGCAUGGUACAGUGUGAAAAACUCCGGUGGUAUGGGAUGGAUCCGCGUCUGAUUAGCCAGUUGGCGGGGUAACGGCCCACCAAAGCGACGAUCAGUAGCCGACCUGAGAGGGUGACCGGCCACAUUGGGACUGAGACACGGCCCAAACUCCUACGGGAGGCAGCAGUGGGGAAUAUUGCACAAUGGGCGAAAGCCUGAUGCAGCGACGCCGCGUGGAGGAAGAAGGUUUUCGGAUUGUAAACUCCUGUCGUAAGGGACGAUAAUGACGGUACCUUACAAGAAAGCCACGGCUAACUACGUG
This 480-nucleotide ribosomal RNA is filed under the name uncultured bacterium. RNAcentral's name for it is "bacterial SSU rRNA". It matches the Rfam family "Bacterial small subunit ribosomal RNA", at positions 28 to 507 of the family's 1533-position model. The record is from RNAcentral.